Molecule: long non-coding RNA, 308 nt
Organism: Metopolophium dirhodum (rose-grain aphid)
Lineage: Eukaryota; Metazoa; Arthropoda; Insecta; Hemiptera; Aphididae
Exons: 9
Source: RefSeq, a predicted model, not a curated record
AGAUAUUUUGUCGGAGUUGGGGCUUUCGGAUAGUUCUGGAUUCGUAAACUUCUGUAUUGCACGUCAAUUUAAAGAUUUAAAUGAAUAUAGGAACAGUUUGGAAAGCAAAGGAAUUGCAUUUGUAGGUUUUGUGGAUGGAUCACAUGAAAUGACCGAAAAAGAAGUUUUAUUAACUAAAUUCUUCAAUGAUAACUUUGAGAUGGAAUCUCAAAACAACCUUUAUAGACCAAUUGAUUAUUGUCGUAAACGCAAUUUUGGCAAACGUGGAAUUUCGGCCUGGAUAUUGCGUUUGAUGAGAUCCCCUGAAA